RNAcentral lists this transfer RNA (66 nucleotides) under Saltuarius cornutus (Northern leaf-tail gecko). Its description in RNAcentral is "tRNA-Cys". The record is from RNAcentral. Lineage: Eukaryota; Metazoa; Chordata; Lepidosauria; Squamata; Carphodactylidae.
CAGCCCUGUAGUGUGGACACGUUGGACUGCAAAUCCAAAAACGCCCAAAUUCUUUGUGCCGGGGCU